ACCUUUUUUCCUCCUUUUUUAAUCUUUCACAAUUGUUUAAACCCUGAUGCAUCGACGCCGCGUGAGUGAAGAAGUAAUUCGUUAUGUAAAGCUCUAUCAGCAGGGAAGAAAAUGACGGUACCUGAGUAAGAAGCCCCGGCUAACUACGUGCCAGCAGCCGCGGUAAUACGUAGGGGGCAAGCGUUAUCCGGAUUUACUGGGUGUAAAGGGAGCGUAGACGGCAGUGCAAGUCUGGAGUGAAAGGCGGGGGCUCAACCCCCGGACUGCUCUGGAAACUGUACGGCUGGAGUGCAGGAGAGGUAAGUGGAAUUCCUAGUGUAGCGGUGAAAUGCGUAGAUAUUAGGAGGAACACCAGUGGCGAAGGCGGCUUACUGGACUGUAACUAACGUUGAGGCUCGAAAGCGUGGGGAGCAAACAGGAUUAGAUACCCUAGUAGUC
RNAcentral lists this ribosomal RNA (438 nucleotides) under uncultured bacterium. RNAcentral describes it as "partial 16S ribosomal RNA". It matches the Rfam family "Bacterial small subunit ribosomal RNA", at positions 335 to 795 of the family's 1533-position model. The record is from RNAcentral.